UUAUUUAUCCGUCAUUUCAAGAAGAGCUACAAAAGUGAUCCAUGGCAAUGAAACAAUCAAUGUCGUCAUGCCAUACAUGGACAAAGGGCAAUGGAGUAAAGGGGUGGGUGGAAAGGCCCCGAGAAGAGAAUGUGAAAUGUGCAAAGGACGCGGUCAUAAAACAGAGCCCUGUCACUUUGGCGAGGAAGGCUAUUUUUGUGCGACCUAGAUUGAAACUCUCAGAUAAGAGUGAAAAUUUUCAGGCACUUCAGUACGUCAGGAGAAAAGGGAAACAAGAAAGGAGCUUGAGCAAAGAUUAAUUAACAACCUUUGCUUUCUGGAAACAGAUGGCUUAAGGGAACAGUUUUACCCUGGGGCAAAGUCUGACUGUGGAUCAGGAAAAAUUUCCCACAUUUACCUAUUGCUCUUUUUGGCUCUGGCUUUUUUCUACAUAUCUUCUCUCCUACUCAAUACUACUCUUCUUCCUCAAGCAUUGUCAAUACUGGGAUACAUUUGAAAAAGUUAUUUUAUUUGACUUGUACCACUCAUGAUAGACUGUGAGUUGCUUCGGGGAAAAGAUUAUUUAUUACACAUCUUUAGAGCUCCAGUGUGGAGCACAGCAAUUGGGACCUAAGUAGGGAUAGUGAAUUGUUGUUGAAUGAAUCUGAUUCUUAUAAUCAUUUUAAUCGCUUAAGAAAAGGAGGUAGAGGGCGUUCCAAGAUGGC
This 704-nucleotide long non-coding RNA is filed under the name Macaca nemestrina (pig-tailed macaque). RNAcentral's name for it is "lncRNA (ENSMNEG00000046107.1)". Lineage: Eukaryota; Metazoa; Chordata; Mammalia; Primates; Cercopithecidae. The record is from RNAcentral.